RNAcentral lists this ribosomal RNA (332 nucleotides) under uncultured bacterium. RNAcentral's name for it is "bacterial SSU rRNA". It matches the Rfam family "Bacterial small subunit ribosomal RNA", at positions 568 to 898 of the family's 1533-position model. The record is from RNAcentral.
UGCGUAGGCGGUGCGGUAAGUCUUCUGUGAAACCUCCGGGCUUAACUCGGAGCCUGCAGAGGAAACUGCCGUGCUGGAGUAUGGGAGAGGUGAGUGGAAUUCCCGGUGUAGCGGUGAAAUGCCUAGAUAUCGGGAGGAACACCUGUGGCGAAAGCGGCUCACUGGACCAUUACUGACGCUGAUGCACGAAAGCUAGGGGAGCAAACAGGAUUAGAUACCCUGGUAGUCCUAGCCCUAAACUAUGAUCGCUUGGUGUGACAGGUACCCAAUCCUGUCGUGCCGGAGCUAACGCGUUAAGCGAUCCGCCUGGGGAGUACGGUCGCAAGGCUGAA